CCUACGGGUGGCAGCAGUAGGGAAUAUUGGGCAAUGGGGGGAAGCCUGACCGAGCAACGCCGCGUGAAGGAAGAAGGUAUUCGGAGUGUAAAGUUCUUUUAACAGGGAAGAAAGAGAAAUUUGACGGUACCUGAAGAAUAAGCUCCGGCUAACUACGUGCAAGCAGCCGCGGUAAAACGUAGGGAGCGGGCGUUAUCCGGAAUUAUUGGGCGUAAAGGGUGCGUAGAUGGCAUAGUAAGUCUUUUGUAAAACUGCUGGGCUCAACCCAGUAGGGCAAAAGAUACUGCAAAGCUAGAGUAUGACAGAGGCAAGUGGAACUACAUGUGUAGCGGUAAAAUGCGUAGAUAUCUGUAAGAACACCAGUGGCGAAGGCGGCUUGCUGGGUCGAUACUGACAUUGAGGCACGAAAGCGUGGGGAGCAAACAGGAUUAGAUACCCGGGUAGUC
RNAcentral lists this ribosomal RNA (446 nucleotides) under uncultured bacterium. Its description in RNAcentral is "partial 16S ribosomal RNA". It matches the Rfam family "Bacterial small subunit ribosomal RNA", at positions 338 to 795 of the family's 1533-position model. The record is from RNAcentral.